This 198-nucleotide microRNA precursor is filed under the name Jatropha curcas. RNAcentral describes it as "MIR159 microRNA precursor family". It matches the Rfam family "MIR159 microRNA precursor family". Lineage: Eukaryota; Viridiplantae; Streptophyta; Magnoliopsida; Malpighiales; Euphorbiaceae. The record is from Rfam by way of RNAcentral.
UAUAUACAUACAGAGCUCUCUUCAGAUCAAAUUCCGAAAGGAGAUGAUGGUAGACCACAGCUGCUAGUUCAUGAACACCUUUAGGUGCGCUGGUUAAGCAGAGAACAAUGCGCAGUUUAAGGGUUUUCAUGAACUGGGAGAUGAGGUUGUCUUGAUCUUUUUGGUUUUGGUCCGAAGGGAGCUCUUUUCAUUUUUAUG